Molecule: ribosomal RNA, 380 nt
Filed under: uncultured eukaryote
Lineage: Eukaryota
Description: partial small subunit ribosomal RNA
Rfam family: Eukaryotic small subunit ribosomal RNA
Source: RNAcentral
AGCUCCAAUAGCGUAUAUUAAAGUUGUUGCGGUUAAAAAGCUCGUAGUUGGAUCUCGGCAGGUAGGGGGCGGUUCGUUUCUGACGGCACUGCCCCAUUUACCUGUGUUUAUGCAAGAGGUCUCAAGGUGGCUUUAAUCGGCUGUCUUGGAACGCUUGCAGUUUUACUUUGAAAAAAUUAGAGUGCUCAAAGCAGGCUACAAAGCUUGAAUAUUUGUGCAUGGAAUAAUGGAAUAGGAAGUCGUUUCUAUUUUUUUGGUUUUCGGAAAUUGACUUAAUGAUUAAUAGGGACAGCCGGGGGCAUUAGUACUCAGACGACAGAGGUGAAAUUCUUGGACCGUUUGAGGACUAACUACUGCGAAAGCAUUUGCCAAGAGUGUUU